RNAcentral lists this ribosomal RNA (529 nucleotides) under uncultured Actinomycetes bacterium. Its description in RNAcentral is "bacterial SSU rRNA". It matches the Rfam family "Bacterial small subunit ribosomal RNA", at positions 9 to 554 of the family's 1533-position model. The record is from RNAcentral. Lineage: Bacteria; Bacillati; Actinomycetota; Actinomycetes.
GAGUUUGAUCCUGGCUCAGGACGAACGCUGGCGGCGUGCUUAACACAUGCAAGUCGAACGAGGCAGCGGCCUUCGGGCCGGUGUCGAGUGGCGAACGGGUGAGUAACACGUGAGGAACCUGUCCCGGAGACCGGGACAACCAGGGGAAACUCUGGCUAAUACCGGAUGCCCCCGGAUGGCCGCAUGGCCAACCGAGGAAACGCUCCGGUGCUCCGGGAGGGCCUCGCGGCCUAUCAGCUUGUUGGCGGGGUAACGGCCCACCAAGGCAUCGACGGGUAGCUGGUCUGAGAGGACGAUCAGCCACACUGGGACUGAGACACGGCCCAGACUCCUACGGGAGGCAGCAGUGGGGAAUAUUGCGCAAUGGGCGAAAGCCUGACGCAUCAACGCCGCGUGGGGGAUGACGGCCUUCGGGUUGUAAACCCCUUUCAGCAGGGACGAAAAUGACGGUACCUGCAGAAGAAGCCCCGGCCAACUACGUGCCAGCAGCCGCGGUAACACGUAGGGGGCGAGCGUUGUCCGGAUUUAU